This 77-nucleotide transfer RNA is filed under the name Prolixibacteraceae bacterium. RNAcentral describes it as "tRNA-Pro". It matches the Rfam family "tRNA". Rfam says of the family: Transfer RNA (tRNA) molecules are approximately 80 nucleotides in length. Their secondary structure includes four short double-helical elements and three loops (D, anti-codon, and T loops). Lineage: Bacteria; Pseudomonadati; Bacteroidota; Bacteroidia; Marinilabiliales; Prolixibacteraceae. The record is from RNAcentral.
CGGGGUGUAGCGCAGCCUGGUAGCGUACUCGUCUGGGGGGCGAGGGGUCGCAAGUUCAAAUCUUGUCACCCCGACAA